This is a long non-coding RNA of Pogoniulus pusillus (Red-fronted tinkerbird), 506 nucleotides long. RefSeq lists it as uncharacterized. NCBI's taxonomy places the organism in Eukaryota, Metazoa, Chordata, Aves, Piciformes, Lybiidae. The transcript is spliced from 2 exons. The record is from RefSeq and is a predicted model, not a curated record.
CCAACUGGGCAGAGGGAUCCUCCUCCCAUCAUCACUGGGAGAAGAGCCCAAUCCCACCUCACUGCAACCUCCUUUCAGGGAGUUGGAGAGAGCAAGGAGGUGUCCCCUCAGCCUCCUCUUCUCCACACUAAACAGCCCCAGGUCCCUCAGCUACUCCUCACCUGAAGCAAACUGUGGCAAUGAGAGGCUCUCAAAGUCACAAGAGGCUAAAGGAGGCAUCUAGCACACUUUGCUCCUUCUACACGUGGCCCCUGCACUGCCUUUACGCCCAGAAGGAAGAGGAGGCACUCACUGCCUGCAGCUGGAGAGCCAGGUCGUUCUUCUCCUGGAUCAUGGAGACCUGCUUUUCUUCCAGCUCUUUCCUCUUAGCCUCAGACUUCUCCAGAGCCUCCUUCAGCUUCUGGAAUUCCUCCUUCAGGUUGGACAUCUCUUUCUCAGUCUGAGCAGACUUGAGUAAAGGCUUGAUCUUGAAGAACAACUUCAUCCAGGACCAGUUCUUGACAGCA